GUCUACGGCCGUGCCACCCUAAACAGGCCCGAUCUUGUCUGAUCUCAGAAGCUAAGGAGAGUCGGGCCUGGUUAGUACUUGGGUGGAAGAUCAUCUAGUAAGACCUGGUGCUGUAGUCA
This 119-nucleotide ribosomal RNA is filed under the name Pteropus alecto (black flying fox). Lineage: Eukaryota; Metazoa; Chordata; Mammalia; Chiroptera; Pteropodidae. The record is from RNAcentral.